This is a non-coding RNA of Triticum urartu, 555 nucleotides long. Lineage: Eukaryota; Viridiplantae; Streptophyta; Magnoliopsida; Poales; Poaceae. The record is from RefSeq and is a predicted model, not a curated record.
CUCGCUCGAUACUGUUCGAUAUCGGCCCAUCGCCAGCCCCUUGCGCUCGUCCCCCGCCGUCCCGGAACCAAACCAGGCCGGCGACUGCGAGUGGCGAGUGACGACGGCCACCUCGAGCUCGAAGGCGAGAAGAUCGAUCGUGACUCCUUCGUCGGAUUGAGAUAGAUCGUCUCAGCUGUACCUGUACCGAUCGAUCCGGGGUCUGAGGUGACCCCUACAAGGCGGAUGUCGUCUAGGACGACGGCCAGCAAGAGGAGGAUGGUCGUGGUGGCAGGAUCGCUCGGCGCGCCGGUGCUGCCGGACGAGCUCACCGCGGAGGUGCUCGUGCGGCUGCCCUUCAAGUCCAUCCAGCGCUUCCACGCUGUGUGCCGCUCCUGGGCCGCGGUGCUCUCCUCCGACGAGUUCCUCAGCCUCUACGUCACCUUUGGAAUAAAUAAGAUGGAGGAGAAUUGGCGCACGAGGGCCUCAAAGUUGUUUGUCUGAUUGAUUUGGUCUAUUGAUGGCACAUUUCAUCUGUCUUUUCCCUCUUUUGCGAGGAACAAGUGAUGAACUUUA